Molecule: ribosomal RNA, 253 nt
Filed under: uncultured bacterium
Lineage: Bacteria
Description: partial 16S ribosomal RNA
Rfam family: Bacterial small subunit ribosomal RNA
Source: RNAcentral
GACGUAGGAGGCGAGCGUUGUCCGGAUUCAUUGGGCGUAAAGAGCACGCAGGCGGUUUGGCAAGUCGGAUGUGAAAACCCGGAGCUCAACUCCGGACCUGCAUCCGAAACUGCCCGACUAGAGGUAGGUAGGGGAGAUCGGAAUUCCUGGUGUAGCGGUGAAAUGCGCAGAUAUCAGGAGGAACACCGGUGGCGAAGGUAAUCCCCUGGGCCUGCACUGACGCUCAUGCACGAAAGCGUGGGGAGCAAACAGG